RNAcentral lists this unclassified non-coding RNA (3406 nucleotides) under Leishmania donovani. Its description in RNAcentral is "gene:LdHU3.35.5070(CDS-product:T-complex_protein_ 1_eta_subunit_putative)". The record is from RNAcentral. Lineage: Eukaryota; Euglenozoa; Kinetoplastea; Trypanosomatida; Trypanosomatidae.
GAGUUUCUAUUUUUUAUUCGGGUUUCAUCUCUUCGCAAUUGCUCAGAACAAAGCGCUUUUAUAAAAAAGAAAGUUUACUCAGGCUUGUAUCCCCCUCCCUCCCCGACCUCUUUUCUACCACUCCACCUUUGUCUCUUCUUCCUUUUCCUCGAAACGCCCUCCUUGCACCACCGGUUUGUGCUUCUCUCUCUGGAGGCUUCGUUGAGCCGACGCCACAGGCUCGUGAACUGUUGAGCUCACCCUCGUCAUCUUGUCGGAUUUUUCUUCCUUCUUUACAAGUCUCACUUCUCGCGCCGUCUCCACCACGCCAUGAUCCAGCCACAGCUUGUGCUUCUCCGCGAAGGUACGGACACCUCGCAGGGUAAGCCGCAGCUCAUCAGCAACAUCAAUGCCUGCAUCAGCAUCGUGGACACCGUGAAAUCUACCCUCGGACCAUGCGGCAUGGAUAAGCUCAUCCACAACGGACGCGAUGUUCAGAUCAGUAACGACGGCGCCACUAUCAUGAAUCUGCUCGAAAUUGUGCACCCAGCUGCAAAGAGUCUCGUGGACAUUGCGCGUGCGCAAGACAACGAGGUGGGCGAUGGUACGACCUCUGUCGUCGUUCUCGCUGGCGAACUGCUGAAGGAGUCGAAGCAGUGCGUGGAGGACGGCAUUGCGCCGCAGGUGAUUGUCAAAGCCUACCGCAACUCCCUCAGCAUUGCGAUAAAGGCGCUGGAUGAGCUUUGCGUCCCGUUCAAGGCUGAGGGCAACUCGAACGAGGAGAACUUGAUUCGCUGUGCCGAGACCGCGCUCAACUCGAAGCUGAUCAACACAGAGCGGCGCUUCUUCGCCGAGAUGGCGGUGAAGGCUGUGAUGGCGCUAAAUGAGGACAUGAACCUUGACCUCAUUGGCAUCAAGAAGGUGGCCGGCGGUAGCAUGCGCGACAGCCUGCUGGUGGACGGUGUUGCGUUCAAAAAGACUUUCUCCUACGCUGGUUUCGAGCAGCAGCGCAAGAAGUUCGACAACCCGAAGGUGCUGCUGCUGAACGUGGAGCUGGAGCUCAAGGCCGAAAAGGAUAAUGCAGAGGUGCGCCUCAAGGACCCGAAACAGUACCAGUCUAUAGUCGAUGCAGAGUGGAAGAUCAUCUUCGAUAAGCUGGACAAGUGUGUGGCUACGGGCGCCAAUGUGGUGCUCUCUCGCCUGCCUAUCGGCGACUUAGCCACGCAGUACUUUGCAGAUCGAGACAUCUUCUGUGCCGGCCGCGUGGCAAACGACGACAUGACGCGCAUGUGCAUGGCUACCGGCGGUGUGGUGCAGUCUACGCUUAACAAUGUCCCGGCUGGGGUACUCGGCACAUGUGGCACGUUUGAGGAGCGUCAGGUCGGUACGGAGCGCUUCAACUUCUUUACCGGGUGCAAGAGCUCGAAGACAUCCACCGUGAUUCUGCGCGGCGGUGCCCAGCAGUUCAUUGAAGAGGCUGACCGCUCCUUGCACGACGCCAUCUGUAUAGUGAAGCGCGCAAUCAAGACCGGCUCUGUCGUCGGUGGCGGUGGUGCCAUCGAGAUGGAACUGAGCAAGAAACUGCGCGAGUACUCGCGGACGAUCAAGGGUAAGGAGCAGAUGGUGGUCUCCGGAUACGCCCGCGCGCUGGAGAUCAUUCCGCGCCAGCUCGCUGAGAACGCCGGCCACGAUAGCACUGACACAGUGAACAAGCUGCGCCAGAAGCACUACGUGACCUCUGAAAAGGACAGCCAGUGGUAUGGCGUCGACAUCUUCAACGGUGGUGUGUGCGACACUUUCGCUAACUUUGUGUGGGAGCCUACGCUGGUGAAGCGGAACGCGCUGCAGAGCGCCACAGAGGCGGCUUGCCUGAUUCUCUCGAUCGAUGAGACCGUGACGAACCCAGAAUCGGACGCUGCCAAGAAGCAGGCGGUUGGCGGCGGCGGUCGCGGUGGCAACAUGGCCAUGAGCAAGGCGGGCAUGGGCGGCAUGUUUGCUGGUGCCCCAGGCGUCACACGCAUGAAGGGCGGUCGUGGCAAGUAGGCGCGUAUGCACCUGCUUGCUCUCCUCAUGCCACCACCGCCGGCCGUGGUGCUUGAUGUGUCUCGUGUGCUACGAGGGCGUGCAAGGAGAUGGAAGCGACGAAGGUCAGGGAAGCGCGACGCGUAGCUGCACCCCUUCACGGUGUAGCAGCCGCAGAACGGACGCGCUGCAUGCUUGACCUCCUUUGUUGUUUUCUUCUGUUGACGAGUACGAUUUCUUUGCAUGGGGAAGCUCAAUGCCUAAUAGAACAAGCGAUGCCGUUGAGCCUCGUGAGGCAGAACGAAAAGCUCAAGGGCGAGCGGAGAGAUGCUUGGCAUGGUAACAGAAACACCACAAAAGGUCCGCUUUCUCCUGUUCCCUCGCCGUGUUCGUGGUUUGUUGUCUCGGUCCUUCUCUCUGCCACAGACUUCCGGUGUACCUUCCGCGUACGCUAUGAUGACAUGCAGUCAGAGAGAGAGAGUUCCCCUCCCGCUCCCCAAUGCAUUGCCGUCGGGCCCUUCCUUUGGCGCCUCUCUCACAAACACAAGGGUACAUACGAUUCUCUCGUGAAUUCUUGGCCGCUUCGUAUGCUUGUGCUUGGUGCACCUCAUCGCCUCUCCCCGCGUUCUCCGAGAUCGGGCUGUCUGCCAUGGCGAAUAGAACUGGAGAGUCGAGGGGUGGGGACACGUAGGAAGAGAAGGCGCCUCUCAACACGGAAGCCAGCACAUAGAGGGAGAAGACGAGACGAUGGCGCACAGAAAGGCGUUGAUGGAGAGAACACAGCAUCAUAGGCAGUGGUGUGCGUAUGUGUGUGCACGGGUGAUACAGAGUGCACGAGGAAUAGAACGGGCAGCUUCUCCUUUAGGUUAUCUCCCUUGUUGGCGUAGUGUAUUGAGCUGUAACUGCCGUUUGCUCGCUCGUUGUUUUUCUCUUCUUUCUUUUUUUUUCUUUUCCGUUCCUUUAGUCUUAAAACGCGCGCACCCCUCGGCAGCCCACACACCCACAGUCAACGGAUAGCUCUUGUAAGUAAUGCGCCGACGCUGACACCGAGCCACACUCCCCCUCCGUGCCGGGAAGAAGACAGACAAAAAGGACACAUGCGCAAACACGACGAAAGCCCGAUAGAUGACACAGAUAACGCGAAGACUUCACCCCGACGUCUCGAGCCUGCAGCGCUUCUGUGUGAGGUUUCUACACACACCUACACGCAUACAUACGCCCCUCAUGCGCUCCACUGCGGUGGGAAAAAAGAGGCACGCCGGCUCAGGAGCUUCCUGCUGCCUGCGCCCACUCACCCUCGCUCUCUCCUACGACCUAUCCAAGUGACUUAUGCUCACCGGGGCACGGUUUCAUGCUCCCUAUCGCGCUAGCACCCCUCCUUGGUUGUAAGAGGGACGCGAGGUGA